AUGCACGCUGGCGGCGUGCCUCAUCCAUGCAAGUCGCGCGAACGGACGAGAAGCUUGCUUCUCUGAUGUUAGCGGCGGACGGGUGAGUAACACGUGGAUAACCUACCUAUAAGACUGGGAUAACUUCGGGAAACCGGAGCUAAUACCGGAUAAUAUUUUGAACCGCAUGGUUCAAAAGUGAAAGACGGUCUUGCUGUCACUUAUAGAUGGAUCCGCGCUGCAUUAGCUAGUUGGUAAGGUAACGGCUUACCAAGGCAACGAUGCAUAGCCGACCUGAGAGGGUGAUCGGCCACACUGGAACUGAGACACGGUCCAGACUCCUACGGGAGGCAGCAGUAGGGAAUCUUCCGCAAUGGGCGAAAGCCUGACGGAGCAACGCCGCGUGAGUGAUGAAGGUCUUCGGAUCGUAAAACUCUGUUAUUAGGGAAGAACAUAUGUGUAAGUAACUGUGCACAUCUUGACGGUACCUAAUCAGAAAGCCACGGCUAACUACGUG
This 496-nucleotide ribosomal RNA is filed under the name uncultured bacterium. RNAcentral describes it as "partial 16S ribosomal RNA". It matches the Rfam family "Bacterial small subunit ribosomal RNA", at positions 29 to 507 of the family's 1533-position model. The record is from RNAcentral.